ACGUAUCUUUUUUCCUAUCCUGCAAAUUAAUCUGAUUUGUCAGAACACCAUCACGUGAAUUAUUAUUCAUGUAGAUUCUUCAUGAUAGAAAUUCUUAAAUUCGAAUUGGAUUUAGGUAUCGGUCUAAUCGGAUUUAACCGUUCAUAAAUUGAGUAUGAUUUUUUUCCAGAAGGUUGUUUCGUUUACGUCAAUUUGUGUGAUCCUACUGUCAGUAUUACAGAUGAUACAGUGCAAUCCCAUUUACCCUGAUCAAGAUUGGUCUGAUGGAGCUGAUGGUAUGUCAGAUAAUAUGCUGAAUGCUAUGCCCAAGCGUUCUUUUUGUCCCAGAUCAUUCACCUGGAACCCUAGCCUCAGACGAUGCCUACCAUCAUUAGCCCAUUUAAGAGGUCGACCGGGCAGACGAAGCAGAUACUGAAGAUCUUAAUUCAUACACACUUACAAGCAGUUCAAUACUUAUGCCUUAAAAGACAAAGUUUUUGAAAAUAAAUAAAUCAUUGUUGUUUUCUGAAGUAACUUUCCAUGCAAUUGAUAUAUGAUAAAAAAAAAUACACUAUAAAUUAUAUAAAUCGAUUGGCAAAAUUUGAAAUAUUAGAAUUAAAGUAAUUUCAAAUAUA
Long non-coding RNA from Mytilus californianus (California mussel), 614 nucleotides. RefSeq lists it as uncharacterized. The transcript has 3 exons. The record is from RefSeq and is a predicted model, not a curated record. NCBI's taxonomy places the organism in Eukaryota, Metazoa, Mollusca, Bivalvia, Mytilida, Mytilidae.